RNAcentral lists this ribosomal RNA (404 nucleotides) under Acidobacteriota bacterium. RNAcentral's name for it is "Acidobacteria bacterium partial 16S ribosomal RNA". It matches the Rfam family "Bacterial small subunit ribosomal RNA", at positions 355 to 776 of the family's 1533-position model. The record is from RNAcentral. Lineage: Bacteria; Pseudomonadati; Acidobacteriota.
UGGGGAAUAUUGCACAAUGGGGGAAACCCUGAUGCAGCGACGCCGCGUGAAGGAAGAAGUAUUUCGGUAUGUAAACUUCUAUCAGCAGGGAAGAAAAUGACGGUACCUGACUAAGAAGCCCCGGCUAACUACGUGCCAGCAGCCGCGGUAAUACGUAGGGGGCAAGCGUUAUCCGGAUUUACUGGGUGUAAAGGGAGCGUAGACGGCAUGGCAAGUCUGGUGUGAAAGGCAGGGGCUCAACCCCUGGACUGCAUUGGAAACUGUCAGGCUGGAGUGCAGGAGAGGUAGGUGGAAUUCCUAGUGUAGCGGUGAAAUGCGUAGAUAUUAGGAGGAACACCAGUGGCGAAGGCGACUUACUGGACUGUAACUGACGUUGAGGCUCGAAAGCGUGGGGAGCAAACAGG